AUUGAACGCUGGCGGCAGGCUUAACACAUGCAAGUCGAACGAGUGGCGGACGGGUGAGUAAUGCUUGGGAAUCUAGCUUAUGGAGGGGGAUAACUACGGGAAACUGUAGCUAAUACCGCGUACCAUAGGAUGAGCCCAAGUGGGAUUAGGUAGGUGGUGAGGUAAAGGCUCACCAAGCCGACGAUCUCUAGCUGGUCUGCGAGGAUGACGAGCCACAAGGGGACUGAGACACGGCCAAGAAUCCUCAGGGAGGAAGCAGUGGGGAAUAUUGCGGAAGGGGGGCAACCGGACGAAGCCAUGCCGCGUGAAUGAAGAAGGCCUUCGGGUUGUAAAGUUCUUUCGGUAGCGAGGCGUUAACUACAGAAGAAGCACCGGCAAACUCCGUGCCAGCAGCCGCGGUAAUAC
Molecule: ribosomal RNA, 405 nt
Filed under: uncultured bacterium
Lineage: Bacteria
Description: partial 16S ribosomal RNA
Rfam family: Bacterial small subunit ribosomal RNA
Source: RNAcentral